This 81-nucleotide transfer RNA is filed under the name Ameiurus melas (black bullhead). RNAcentral's name for it is "tRNA-Leu". It matches the Rfam family "tRNA". Rfam says of the family: Transfer RNA (tRNA) molecules are approximately 80 nucleotides in length. Their secondary structure includes four short double-helical elements and three loops (D, anti-codon, and T loops). The record is from RNAcentral. Lineage: Eukaryota; Metazoa; Chordata; Actinopteri; Siluriformes; Ictaluridae.
GGUAGCGUGCGGCCGGUCCUAAGGCGCUGGAUUAAGGCUCCAGUCUCUUCGGGGCGUGGGUUCGAAUCCACACCGCUGCCA